Pantherophis guttatus is the source of this 543-nucleotide non-coding RNA. NCBI's taxonomy places the organism in Eukaryota, Metazoa, Chordata, Lepidosauria, Squamata, Colubridae. The record is from RefSeq and is a predicted model, not a curated record.
UGCCAGCUGCCUGCAAUUACUGCAAGUUCAAUUCUCACCAGGCUCACGGUUGACUCAGCCUUCCAUCCUUUCGAGGUGGAUUUUCCUUUUUUCUAAGGAGGACAGCAUGUCAGAUCCUUAUCAUGAUGCUGCCAUUCUUCUGGGAGAAGGGGGCACCAUAGAUGUAUUACUUAGUUUAUUGCUUUCUUCCUCACUCUUUCAUAACAUGUAACCUUUCACUUUAUAACCUUUAUCCUGGUGGAUAGGCAUCUUGAGAUUUUCUCACCUUUAGGGGAAAGGAGGGGAAGGGAGGGCCAUGUGGAUUGUAUCACUCUGAAAGCCGGCGGAAGAUGACUCUGAAAAACGUUCACUUAUACGUUCUCAGGCUGGCCGUUACGAUAAUAUCUCCACACCUGCUGAUUGGCUGAAUACACAUUGGACUGAAGGGAGGGGUUUCUAAUUCCUUUAUCCUAACUGUAUUGCCUGACGGAAACUCGGAGUCUGCUUUUCCUUUAAUCUUGCUAUCACUCCUGUUCAAUAAAAGGUUCCUUUUAAAAUGCUAAA